AAUCAACGCUGGCGGCGUGCCUAACACAUGCAAGUCGAACGCGAAAAUGGAGCAAUCCAUGAGUAGAGUGGCAAACGGGUGAGUAACACGUGGGUGACCUGCCUUCGAGUGGGGGAUAACGUCCCGAAAGGGACGCUAAUACCGCAUAAUAUGCUGUCUUUUUAAGAGAGAGACAUCAAAGCCGGGGACCGCAAGGCCUGGCGCUUGAAGAGGGGCCCGCGCCUGAUUAGCUAGUUGGUGGGGUAAUGGCUCACCAAGGCAACGAUCAGUAUCCGGCCUGAGAGGGCGGACGGACACACUGGGACUGAGACACGGCCCAGACUCCUACGGGAGGCAGCAGUGGGGAAUGUUCGCAAUGGGCGCAAGCCUGACGACGCAACGCCGCGUGGAGGAUGAAGAUCUUCGGGUCGUAAACUCCUUUCGAUCGAGACGAAUGGCCCUUGGGAUAAGUACCCUGAGGGAGUGACGGUACCGAGAGAAGAAGCCCCGGCUAACUCCGUGCCAG
RNAcentral lists this ribosomal RNA (505 nucleotides) under uncultured bacterium. Its description in RNAcentral is "bacterial SSU rRNA". It matches the Rfam family "Bacterial small subunit ribosomal RNA", at positions 32 to 511 of the family's 1533-position model. The record is from RNAcentral.